GUGCCAGCAGCCGCGGUAAUACGGAGGGGGCUAGCGUUGUUCGGAAUUACUGGGCGUAAAGCGCACGUAGGCGGACCAGCAAGUUAGGGGUGAAAUCCCGGGGCUCAACCCCGGAACUGCCCUUAAAACUGUUGAUCUUGAGUUCGAGAGAGGUGAGUGGAAUUCCGAGUGUAGAGGUGAAAUUCGUAGAUAUUCGGAGGAACACCAGUGGCGAAGGCGGCUCACUGGCUCGAUGCUGACGCUGAGGUGCGAAAGCGUGGGGAGCAAACAGGAUUAGAAACCCCCGUAGUCC
This 292-nucleotide ribosomal RNA is filed under the name uncultured prokaryote. Its description in RNAcentral is "partial 16S ribosomal RNA". It matches the Rfam family "Bacterial small subunit ribosomal RNA", at positions 505 to 796 of the family's 1533-position model. The record is from RNAcentral.